Molecule: transfer RNA, 43 nt
Filed under: Draco boschmai
Lineage: Eukaryota; Metazoa; Chordata; Lepidosauria; Squamata; Agamidae
Also listed under: 1 other name
Description: partial tRNA-Ala
Source: RNAcentral
UAAAACCUGUAAGAAUUCACUCACAUCAUCCGAAUGCAACUCA